This 497-nucleotide ribosomal RNA is filed under the name uncultured bacterium. Its description in RNAcentral is "partial 16S ribosomal RNA". It matches the Rfam family "Bacterial small subunit ribosomal RNA", at positions 28 to 507 of the family's 1533-position model. The record is from RNAcentral.
GAUGAACGCUGGCGGCGUGCCUAAUACAUGCCAGUCGAGCGAACGAACGAGAAGCUUGCUUCUCUGAUGUUAGCGGCGGACGGGUGAGUAACACGUGGAUAACCUACCUAUAAGACUGGGAUAACUUCGGGAAACCGGAGCUAAUACCGGAUAAUAUUUUGAACCGCAUGGUUCAAAAGUGAAAGACGGUCUUGCUGUCACUUAUAGAUGGAUCCGCGCUGCAUUAGCUAGUUGGUAAGGUAACGGCUUACCAAGGCAACGAUGCAUAGCCGACCUGAGAGGGUGAUCGGCCACACUGGAACUGAGACACGGUCCAGACUCCUACGGGAGGCAGCAGUAGGGAAUCUUCCGCAAUGGGCGAAAGCCUGACGGAGCAACGCCGCGUGAGUGAUGAAGGUCUUCGGAUCGUAAAACUCUGUUAUUAGGGAAGAACAUAUGUGUAAGUAACUGUGCACAUCUUGACGGUACCUAAUCAGAAAGCCACGGCUAACUACGUG